This 159-nucleotide unclassified non-coding RNA is filed under the name uncultured Chaetothyriales. RNAcentral's name for it is "sequence contains ITS2". The record is from RNAcentral. Lineage: Eukaryota; Fungi; Ascomycota; Eurotiomycetes; Chaetothyriales.
UCACCGUAUCAAGCCUGGCUUGGUGUUGGGCCCCUUGUCACUUGGUGACAGGUCCAAAAGACAAUGACCGGUGUCGUAGCGACUCUAUAUGCAACGAGCUUAUCACAGCAUGCAUCUGGCAGUCGUGUGGCCCCGGCCCCUCAUCAAAUUAAUUUUCAA